UACGGGGGGAGCAAGCGUUGUUCGGAUUUACUGGGCGUAAAGGGCGCGUAGGCGGCCAGCGCAAGUCAGUUGUGAAAUCUCCGAGCUUAACUCGGAAAGGUCAACUGAUACUGCGCGGCUAGAGUGCGGAAGGGGCAACUGGAAUUCUUGGUGUAGCGGUGAAAUGCGCAGAUAUCAGGAGGAACACCAAUUGCGAAGGCAGCUCGCUGGGACGUUACUGACGCUGAGACGCGAAAGCGUGGGGAGCAAACAGG
Molecule: ribosomal RNA, 254 nt
Filed under: uncultured bacterium
Lineage: Bacteria
Description: partial 16S ribosomal RNA
Rfam family: Bacterial small subunit ribosomal RNA
Source: RNAcentral